Molecule: ribosomal RNA, 484 nt
Filed under: uncultured bacterium
Lineage: Bacteria
Description: partial 16S ribosomal RNA
Rfam family: Bacterial small subunit ribosomal RNA
Source: RNAcentral
AUUGAACGCUGGCGGCAGGCCUAACACAUGCGAGUCGAGCGGAUGAAGGGAGCUUGCUCCUGGAUUCAGCGGCGGACGGGUGAGUAAUGCCUAGGAAUCUGCCUGGUAGUGGGGGAUAACGUCCGGAAACGGGCGCUAAUACCGCAUACGUCCUGAGGUAGAAAGUGGGGGAUCUUCGGACCUCACGCUAUCAGAUGAGCCUAGGUCGGAUUAGCUAGUUGGUGGGGUAAAGGCCUACCAAGGCGACGAUCCGUAACUGGUCUGAGAGGAUGAUCAGUCACACUGGAACUGAGACACGGUCCAGACUCCUACGGGAGGCAGCAGUGGGGAAUAUUGGACCAUGGGCGCAAGCCUGAUCCAGCCAUGCCGAGUGUGUGAAGAAGGUCUUCGGAUUGUAAAGCACUUUAAGUUGGGAGGAAGGGCAGUAAGUUAAUACCUUGCUGUUUUGACGUUACCAACAGAAUAAGCACCGGCUAACUUCGUG